Molecule: long non-coding RNA, 130 nt
Organism: Amphimedon queenslandica
Lineage: Eukaryota; Metazoa; Porifera; Demospongiae; Haplosclerida; Niphatidae
Exons: 2
Source: RefSeq, a predicted model, not a curated record
AGAAUCCACAAGAUCCUUUUGUUAAAAGAGAACUAACUAAAAGUGAUCAUGGUACCAUUAUGGGACUCAUUGACAAAGAUAUAGCUCCAAAAUAUAAAGAAUUGGCUGUACAAUUCUGUAUCCCUCAGGG